GAUAAGUCGAUAAUUGUUCAGAAAUUUCUAGGCUCGAUUGUCUUUCUUUGCAUGGGUCCGUUGUACCAAUUCAGGUCGUAUUCAAGAAAAAUCAACCCAACAAGUAUAUAUACUUGCACGUAAACGAAUGCGGUCAUAACCCGAAACCAAAAGCGGUCAAACUCACUUCAGUUUUUGUUUGAGUUUAGAUAGUUCAAAAAAGACCAAUCGGGACUCAAGUGAUUGGUCCGAUUAUAAACCCGAAAUAUCCAUCCGCUAAAAAGGACUUGUCAGUGAUUGGUUAUUUCAGCUUCAAUAGCAAAACCAAGCCUAACCAAAUAAACAGGUUCAAGAACCUUCUUGCUCUAAACAAGAAUCACUGUCUGAAACUUGUUUACUUGGACAGGUUCUUACAUUAUGUCCCAUUUUCUUGCAGAACCCACAAGCAUACGUUAUUUUACCAACACCAUCUUCCCCGGAAUUUUCACCACUGCAACUAGGAUUCACUCCGGUCGGCUUCCGGCAUGUUCUGCUGUUGUGACCUCUCUCACCGCAUAUUCCACAUUUGUGAUACCUAGUGGAAAUGCCUUUAGUGACUAUUGAUUUCGACUUAGGACAAGUUCUACGGUUGUGGCCUUUCCCGCCGCAACCCCGACAUCUAAAUUUUCUGUCCGCAUUAGUGCCUAGUUCUGGACAGUAAUGGCGUCUAUGGCCUUCCUGUCCACAGUUCUUGCAGUAAAACUUAGUUCCUGAAUCAAUGAGAGAAAAAUGGUUCUUUUACCAUUUCAUAGCUUGCACAUGGAACUGUCACCACAAAAGGAAAUCAAAUCGAAACCUACAUUUCUACACUUCGAAUCAACAUUAUAUCUCAACUUUAAGUGACAAGCCUCAACCUAAUUCAUCACAGUGAUCUCACAUUAUUGGAGAAUGUAAACAGAUAAAGCUCAAGAAACAAAAGAGUACUACAUGGACCUAAACUCUGAAAUUCUACCAAGAAACUGAGACUUACCUUUCAUAGAUAGGCUUCUCUGUUCACGGUUUACAGGGUUACUGAAGAAAGCUUUCAUAGAUUCGGAUGCAUGCUUUCUAGCAGCUGGUGUUCCUUUAGCUUU
This 1091-nucleotide long non-coding RNA is filed under the name Arabidopsis thaliana (thale cress). RNAcentral's name for it is "ncRNA (AT5G20225)". Lineage: Eukaryota; Viridiplantae; Streptophyta; Magnoliopsida; Brassicales; Brassicaceae. The record is from RNAcentral.